UACAGAGGUCUCAAGCGUUGUUCGGAUUCAUUGGGCGUAAAGGGUGCGUAGGUGGCGCCGUAAGUCAGGUGUGAAAUUUCGGAGCUUAACUCCGAAACUGCAUUUGAUACUGCGGUGCUUGAGGACUGGAGAGGAGACUGGAAUUUACGGUGUAGCAGUGAAAUGCGUAGAGAUCGUAAGGAAGACCAGUGGCGAAGGCGGGUCUCUGGACAGUUCCUGACACUGAGGCACGAAGGCCAGGGGAGGCAAACGGG
RNAcentral lists this ribosomal RNA (254 nucleotides) under uncultured bacterium. RNAcentral's name for it is "partial 16S ribosomal RNA". It matches the Rfam family "Bacterial small subunit ribosomal RNA", at positions 524 to 776 of the family's 1533-position model. The record is from RNAcentral.